UAGGGAAUCUUCCGCAAUGGGCGAAAGCUUGACGGAGCAACGCCGCGUGAGUGAUGAAGGUCUUCGGAUCGUAAAACUCUGUUAUUAGGGAAGAACAAAUGUGUAAGUAACUAUGCACGUCUUGACGGUACCUAAUCAGAAAGCCACGGCUAACUACGUGCCAGCAGCCGCGGUAAUACGUAGGUGGCAAGCGUUAUCCGGAAUUAUUGGGCGUAAAGCGCGCGUAGGCGGUUUUUUAAGUCUGAUGUGAAAGCCCACGGCGCAACCGUGGAGGGUCAUUGGAAACUGGAAAACUGGAGUGCAGAAGAGGAAAGUGGAAUUCCAUGUGUAGCGGUGAAAUGCGCAGAGAUAUGGAGGAACACCAGUGGCGAAGGCGACUUUCUGGUCUGUAACUGACGCUGAUGUGCGAAAGCGUGGGGAUCAAACAGG
This 429-nucleotide ribosomal RNA is filed under the name Actinomycetes bacterium. Its description in RNAcentral is "Actinobacteria bacterium partial 16S ribosomal RNA". It matches the Rfam family "Bacterial small subunit ribosomal RNA", at positions 355 to 776 of the family's 1533-position model. The record is from RNAcentral. Lineage: Bacteria; Bacillati; Actinomycetota; Actinomycetes.